GAUUAUAAUAAAAAGUBGGACCUGCUCCAUGAGGUAAAACUUAAAUAGCUGCAGAAUUUUAACUGUACAAAGGUAGCAUAAUCAAUAGUUUUUUAAUUAAAAGCUAGAAUGAAAGGUCUGAUAAGGUAGAUAUUGUCUCAAUUUUAAUAUAUUAAAAUUUUAUUAUUUGUAAAAAAUCAAAUUUGAGUUUAAAAGACGAGAAGACCCUAUAGAAUUUUAUAUAAAUUUAUUAAAAAAAUUUAAAUAAAUUAAUAAUUUUUAAUAAAAAUAUAUUUGGUUGGGGAAAUUAUUAAAUUAAAUUAAUUUUAAUUUUUUUUUAACAAUAAUUUUUGAUUAAUUGAUCCUAAUUUUUGGAAAAUAAGAAUAAAUUACCUUAGGGAUAACAGCGUAAUUUUUUUAGAGAGACCUAAUUGAUAAAAAAGUUUGCGACCUCGAUGUUGAAUUAAGAUAAAAUUUUAAUGCAGGAGUUAAAAAUUUUUGGUCUGUUCGACCAUUAAAAUCUUACGUGA
RNAcentral lists this ribosomal RNA (509 nucleotides) under Thelodon sp. 2 BFS-2018. Its description in RNAcentral is "partial 16S large subunit ribosomal RNA". The stretch from base 379 to 509 matches the Rfam family "Archaeal large subunit ribosomal RNA", at positions 2544 to 2674 of the family's 2987-position model. The record is from RNAcentral. Lineage: Eukaryota; Metazoa; Arthropoda; Insecta; Hymenoptera; Ichneumonidae.